AUGUUCACAAUAAGGGGGAGAAAAACGAAAAACAAAAAGAGGGAGGGAGGUUUGACAGAUCUGAAGACGGAGGUAGACAGAAGGAAAGAGAUCUCCGUUGACAGUCUCGCCACUGUCGCUUUUCUUCAUCCUCCCCGUGUUGCUGUUCGACCCACAUAUUCCAUCAUCGCCCCGAUCUGGGGUUUCGAUAUCCGAAACCCUCGAAACACCACCCACCGCGCCACCGCGUCUCCACCAUCACCGUAA
This is a non-coding RNA of Vicia faba (fava bean), 246 nucleotides long. Lineage: Eukaryota; Viridiplantae; Streptophyta; Magnoliopsida; Fabales; Fabaceae. The record is from the annotation of a GenBank genome assembly.